UGGUUAAUGAUUAUGACCCAUCCUACAUACUAGUGUGCAAUUCGCAAGGAGACUUAUUCUUGUUAACAAAUUGACUCUGGCUGGGACUUAAAAUAUUAAAGGACCUUCUUUCUUGAUAUCUUUGGGCGAUGGCCGUCUUUCGCUAUCAUUGGGGACUUGUACUCAAUCCUGGAGGCUUACCUCAUCCAUUAAAACUUGAGAUGGACUUUGAUGUACACUAAUGAGUGACAGAUCAUCUUUUACCAAGAUAGGACAGCUUAUAUUCAUUAUAUCUUUUUAAUUGUACAACAUUACUGUAUAUACUGAGAUAUUUAACUGGUGUUGUUUAAUUACUGUGGUGUGUAAACUGUUUUACCUGUAUUUUAGUGUAGUAUUAAGUUUAUUAUAACAAUAACAAUGACUAUUUAGCUAACUAUUAGGUGUGAUAAUGGCAGUAGUGACGUUAUUACUCUAAA
RNAcentral lists this long non-coding RNA (455 nucleotides) under Amphimedon queenslandica. Its description in RNAcentral is "uncharacterized LOC109583875". The record is from RNAcentral. Lineage: Eukaryota; Metazoa; Porifera; Demospongiae; Haplosclerida; Niphatidae.